Molecule: ribosomal RNA, 1371 nt
Filed under: uncultured bacterium
Lineage: Bacteria
Description: bacterial SSU rRNA
Rfam family: Bacterial small subunit ribosomal RNA
Source: RNAcentral
GAUGAACGCUGGCGGCGUGCCUAAUACAUGCAAGUCGAGCGAACGGACGAGAAGCUUGCUUCUCUGAUGUUAGCGGCGGACGGGUGAGUAACACGUGGAUAACCUACCUAUAAGACUGGGAUAACUUCGGGAAACCGGAGCUAAUACCGGAUAAUAUUUUGAACCGCAUGGUUCAAAAGUGAAAGACGGUCUUGCUGUCACUUAUAGAUGGAUCCGCGCUGCAUUAGCUAGUUGGUAAGGUAACGGCUUACCAAGGCAACGAUGCAUAGCCGACCUGAGAGGGUGAUCGGCCACACUGGAACUGAGACACGGUCCAGACUCCUACGGGAGGCAGCAGUAGGGAAUCUUCCGCAAUGGGCGAAAGCCUGACGGAGCAACGCCGCGUGAGUGAUGAAGGUCUUCGGAUCGUAAAACUCUGUUAUUAGGGAAGAACAUAUGUGUAAGUAACUGUGCACAUCUUGACGGUACCUAAUCAGAAAGCCACGGCUAACUACGUGCCAGCAGCCGCGGUAAUACGUAGGUGGCAAGCGUUAUCCGGAUUAUUGGGCGUAAAGCGCGCGUAGGCGGUUUUUUAAGUCUGAUGUGAAAGCCCACGGCUCAACCGUGGAGGGUCAUUGGAAACUGGAAAACUUGAGUGCAGAAGAGGAAAGUGGAAUUCCAUGUGUAGCGGUGAAAUGCGCAGAGAUAUGGAGGAACACCAGUGGCGAAGGCGACUUUCUGGUCUGUAACUGACGCUGAUGUGCGAAAGCGUGGGGAUCAAACAGGAUUAGAUACCCUGGUAGUCCACGCCGUAAACGAUGAGUGCUAAGUGUUAGGGGGUUUCCGCCCCUUAGUGCUGCAGCUAACGCAUUAAGCACUCCGCCUGGGGAGUACGACCGCAAGGUUGAAACUCAAAGGAAUUGACGGGGACCCGCACAAGCGGUGGAGCAUGUGGUUUAAUUCGAAGCAACGCGAAGAGCCUUACCAAAUCUUGACAUCCUUUGACAACUCUAGAGAUAGAGCCUUCCCCUUCGGGGGACAAAGUGACAGGUGGUGCAUGGUUGUCGUCAGCUCGUGUCGUGAGAUGUUGGGUUAAGUCCCGCAACGAGCGCAACCCUUAAGCUUAGUUGCCAUCAUUAAGUUGGGCACUCUAAGUUGACUGCCGGUGACAAACCGGAGGAAGGUGGGGAUGACGUCAAAUCAUCAUGCCCCUUAUGAUUUGGGCUACACACGUGCUACAAUGGACAAUACAAAGGGCAGCGAAACCGCGAGGUCAAGCAAAUCCCAUAAAGUUGUUCUCAGUUCGGAUUGUAGUCUGCAACUCGACUACAUGAAGCUGGAAUCGCUAGUAAUCGUAGAUCAGCAUGCUACGGUGAAUACGUUCCCGGGUCU